Molecule: ribosomal RNA, 492 nt
Filed under: Salmonella enterica subsp. enterica serovar Enteritidis
Lineage: Bacteria; Pseudomonadati; Pseudomonadota; Gammaproteobacteria; Enterobacterales; Enterobacteriaceae
Description: partial 23S ribosomal RNA
Rfam family: Bacterial large subunit ribosomal RNA
Source: RNAcentral
UCGUCACACUAUCAUUAACUGAAUCCAUAGGUUAAUGAGGCGAACCGGGGGAACUGAAACAUCUAAGUACCCCGAGGAAAAGAAAUCAACCGAGAUUCCCCCAGUAGCGGCGAGCGAACGGGGAGGAGCCCAGAGCCUGAAUCAGCAUGUGUGUUAGUGGAAGCGUCUGGAAAGGCGCGCGAUACAGGGUGACAGCCCCGUACACAAAAGCGCAUGUGCUGUGAGCUCGAUGAGUAGGGCGGGACACGUGGUAUCCUGUCUGAAUAUGGGGGGACCAUCCUCCAAGGCUAAAUACUCCUGACUGACCGAUAGUGAACCAGUACCGUGAGGGAAAGGCGAAAAGAACCCCGGCGAGGGGAGUGAAAAAGAACCUGAAACCGUGUACGUACAAGCAGUGGGAGCACCCUUUGGGUGUGACUGCGUACCUUUUGUAUAAUGGGUCAGCGACUUAUAUUCUGUAGCAAGGUUAACCGAAUAGGGGAGCCGGAGGGA